AGCUAAUAGAUACCCCGGUAGUCCACGCCCUAAACGAUGUCUACUAGUUGUUGGUGGAGUAAAAUCCAUGAGUAAACGCAGCUAAACGCGUGAAGUAGACCGCCUGGGGAGUACGGUCGCAAGAUUAAAACUCAAAGGAAUUGGACGGGGGCCCGCACAAGCGGUGGAUUAUGUGGAUUAAAUUCGAUGCAACGCGAAAAACCUUACCUGGCCUUGACAUGCCACUAACGAAGCAGAGAUGCAUUAGGUGCCCGUAAGGGAAAGUGGACACAGGUGCUGCAUGGCUGUCGUCAGCUCGUGUCGUGAGAUGUUGGGUUAAGUCCUGCAACGAGCGCAACCCUUGCCAUUAAUUGCCAUCAUUUAGUUGGGCACUUUAAUGGGACUGCCGGUGACAAACCGGAGGAAGGUGGGGGAUGACGUCAAGUCCUCAUGGCCCUUAUGGCCAGGGCUUCACACGUAAUACAAUGGUCGGUACAGAGAGUUGCCAACCCGCGAGGGGAGCUAAUCUCAGAAAGCCGAUCGUAGUCCGGAUUGUUCUCU
RNAcentral lists this ribosomal RNA (540 nucleotides) under uncultured bacterium. RNAcentral describes it as "bacterial SSU rRNA". It matches the Rfam family "Bacterial small subunit ribosomal RNA", at positions 774 to 1306 of the family's 1533-position model. The record is from RNAcentral.